GUGGGGAAUUUUGGACAAUGGGCGCAAGCCUGAUCCAGCAAUGCCGCGUGCAGGAAGAAGGCCUUCGGGUUGUAAACUGCUUUUGUACGGAACGAAACGGUCCGGGUUAAUACCCUGGGCUAAUGACAGUACCGUAAGAAUAAGCACCGGCUAACUACGUGCCAGCAGCCGCGGUAAUACGUAGGGUGCAAGCGUUAAUCGGAAUUACUGGGCGUAAAGCGUGCGCAGGCGGUUUUGUAAGACAGGCGUGAAAUCCCCGGGCUCAACCUGGGAAUUGCGCUUGUGACUGCAAGGCUGGAGUGCGGCAGAGGGGGAUGGAAUUCCGCGUGUAGCAGUGAAAUGCGUAGAUAUGCGGAGGAACACCGAUGGCGAAGGCAAUCCCCUGGGCCUGCACUGACGCUCAUGCACGAAAGCGUGGGGAGCAAACAGGAUUAGAUACCCUAGUAGUCC
Molecule: ribosomal RNA, 450 nt
Filed under: uncultured bacterium
Lineage: Bacteria
Description: partial 16S ribosomal RNA
Rfam family: Bacterial small subunit ribosomal RNA
Source: RNAcentral